Mirounga angustirostris (Northern elephant seal) is the source of this 609-nucleotide long non-coding RNA. RefSeq lists it as uncharacterized. Lineage: Eukaryota; Metazoa; Chordata; Mammalia; Carnivora; Phocidae. The transcript is spliced from 3 exons. The record is from RefSeq and is a predicted model, not a curated record.
GAUAAGGGCCAAGCUGUACUCAGGUAUAUUUUUCCUUAGCUUAGCCACCCAUGAUUUGGCUUCAGAUUCCCUCUGGCUCCUCUACGGGUGUGCCGCCCAAAUGUGACAUUAGACGGCUCUGGGGUUACAUUUUUCGAGCUUUUAAUUCAAAGUAAAAGAAGAACUUUGCUUCACCUCCAAUCUGGGAAUUCCAGGCAGGUAUCGCCGAAGCCCUUCACACCGUUUAUCUCGAAGCCAUUCCAUAACCCUGCAGGUGCUAAGGAUCAGAGCCAUUAAGUGACCCAACCAGAAGCAAAGUAAAUGAUGGACAACCAAGAGGCAAACAUGGACUAUCAUGGAAAGGGUACAAAUGCAUUGAGAGUUGAACUCUGUAAUCGAGACUGAUGAUCAGCGAGAAGGUGAAAAGUUGCCUUGCGGCAAGGACACUACCAGUCUCAGGAGUGAGGGAAAAGAGGAGCCUGAGUAUUCAGGCCAGAGCUCAUACUGAAUCCAAGAAAUGAGGCGGCGACUCUGGAAGGAGGUCUCUUCCAUCAAGAACCCGAAACACCAAAGUAAAAUAAUGUAAAAGGCACCCUUAAACUGACAACAAGUUUCAAAGCUGGAGGGUUG